Molecule: transfer RNA, 72 nt
Filed under: Heterostelium pallidum
Lineage: Eukaryota; Evosea; Eumycetozoa; Acytosteliales; Acytosteliaceae
Also listed under: 1 other name
Description: tRNA-Lys
Rfam family: tRNA
About the family: Transfer RNA (tRNA) molecules are approximately 80 nucleotides in length. Their secondary structure includes four short double-helical elements and three loops (D, anti-codon, and T loops). Further hydrogen bonds mediate the characteristic L-shaped molecular structure. tRNAs have two regions of fundamental functional importance: the anti-codon, which is responsible for specific mRNA codon recognition, and the 3' end, to which the tRNAs corresponding amino acid is attached (by aminoacyl-tRNA synthetases). tRNAs cope with the degeneracy of the genetic code in two manners: having more than one tRNA (with a specific anti-codon) for a particular amino acid; and 'wobble' base-pairing, i.e. permitting non-standard base-pairing at the 3rd anti-codon position.
Source: RNAcentral
UUCUGUAUAGCAUAAUGGUAGUGCAGCAGUCUUUUAAGCUGUCAGGUCUGGGUUCGACUCUCAGUACAGACA